RNAcentral lists this long non-coding RNA (8115 nucleotides) under Panax ginseng (ginseng). RNAcentral's name for it is "long non-coding RNA (PGIN_LNC005689)". The record is from RNAcentral. Lineage: Eukaryota; Viridiplantae; Streptophyta; Magnoliopsida; Apiales; Araliaceae.
AAGUUCUCACAAAAUAUCGUAGUUCGCUUCUACCGGAUAAUGCACAAGCAUUAAUUUAUGGACAUAAUUGAAUUUGUGGAUAUGAAAUACAAGGUUUGUUCUAGUUGUAAAUAUUUUUACUUUUAAUUGUAAUUUUUUUAGUUCAAUUUUGGGUAUUGAUAUUUUAAAUUGGUAUUUUUAAUAUAGAUGAUGGGCUGACGGACGACCAACUUUUGGUACCGCUAGUUGCAAAUCAAGAGUCAAAGGGUUUUAAUUCUAACAUGGGCGAAAUUACAAGGAGUGACUAAACAUUACUUACUAGUAAGUACUUCAAUUUUUAUGGACUAUUUCUUUGAUUUUUCAAGUACUAAGAAAAGGUAAUCUUGUGUACAAUCACAAACUAUAAGAUAAAUCCAAUUUGCUUGUUCUAAGUAAACUGCAAGAUGGCAAAAAAGGUUUCCUUUAUUUGCUUGUUCUAAUUAAAGUAUUCAUUAUCAGAAUUCAAGAAAAAAUGUGUAUGUCCCUAAUUGUAUAAAUAUAUUGUAACACUAGCUUUCAUAUGUGUAUGUAGGACUGAGACAAUAAUGCAAAUCCUUGACUAUUGACCUUCAUAUGUGUAAUUUGUUUUUAUACUACUAAUAUUACUUUUCACAUCUCGAGAAAAGUAAUGUCGACUAAUUUUAAAAAUUAAAGAUCCAUUAUUCUCUUUAAAUUUAUGCUCUCCUAUGCUGUAAUUAUAUAUGGACUUGAGAGAUUUUCUGCUUUGUCAUAUCAUUUCCGCUAGUUGCCCCUCCCACAUUGCAUAAUUAUAUAUAUAGAUAUAUAAACACACAUAUAUAGAAUAUUAUAUAUAUAUAUAUAUAUAUACAUUAAUUAUGUCUCAAAUAUUUGUCCAUAUCUCCCUUUACAUAUGUAUGUAUGCCCCUAAUUGUAUAAAUAUAUUGUGAACGAUGCAGAAGUAACAUUGUGUUGUGGCAGAGCAAAGCUACAUAUUACAAAGUAACACUGUGUUACUUUCAUAUGUUUAAGAGCCUGCACUACAAAAUAUUACUUUAGUUUGUAAUAUUGUAACAAAUAUACAGUGUUACUAGUGUAUACUAACACUAGAUUUGGUCUGCCACAAGACAUACACUUUUAUAGUUUCAGUUCUCCCAUAUAUAAUGACACAUUUAUGAAUCUUCCUGCACAGGAUGUCAUGCCAUUCUUGGACUGAGAAGAUGGGAUUGCAAGCAUGUUUUGGAGCUUAUUUUGUAAGACCCCAACUUAUUAUUAAAUAAAAUUGAAAUUCCUCUAUUUAUUAUUUUGAAAUAGUAAGGGUUGAUUUGAUUAAUGUGGUUAGUUAUGGAUAAAAUGCGCAAAUAUUUCAAAUAAGCAAGUGGUUAUAAAAUAUUCAUUGUUGUCGGAGAAUAUUCGUUUGGUCGUGAAAUAUUCUUACUGUCGGGGAAUAUUCGUACGACGGCGCAGCCUUGUGUGGGUCCCAUAACGGAAAGCGAUUAAAUGAAGAAAACGACAAGUAUAAGUUAUUUAUAAAUAACGGCGUAGUUGUUACCGUUAAUACUGUUGGAAUACCCGGUGGUUAAAACAUAGUAGCACACGGUAUUGCACCAAUUAUUGAUUCUUACGUAAGAAGGCACUACUCAAUAAUUGUUACAGUAAUUAAUGUUCAAUAUUUUAUUUUAUUGAUUCAGUAAUUGCUACAUUGAUAUUUUAUUGAUUCAGUAAUUGCUAUGUUGGUAAUCAUGGCCAUGAAAAUAGAAGAAGCGAGUCAGUGGGAGAUUUUAAAAAGAGGAGACUCAACAAUGACCAUGUGAAGACGUCAGCACCAGCAGUAACUGGUUCUAAGGGAGUAGAACGACCACCGGUCGUAUGCUAUAAAUGCGAAAAAGAGGGAUAUAUCAUCCCAAACUGCCCACAACAGUUCAAGGUAUGUUAUAAUUGUGGAAAGGAAGGACAUAUCGCUCGAGAUUGUACGAUAGCGAAACCAAGUCCAGGGGGGAAGGUGACUCAAAAGGCUGCCCAGAAAAGUCAAAGUCAACGGUUCCUGGAAGAGCGUUUGUCGUGACUGGUCAAAAUGCGAGGAACCCAAACGAGGUGAUCAUGAGUAAGCUAAUCAUAAAUUCUUACGAAGUUUAUACCUUACUAGAUACCGGUGCUACCUAUUCUUUUAUCUCUCCUACUUGUGCUUAACGUUUAAACUUGACUCUGGAGAAAUUAGACUUUGAUUUAUCUGUGGAGACUCCAUUAGGAGAAACUUUUAUCACAUCCAUUGUUUAUAAAUCUUGUUUAAUCCAAGUCGGCACCAUCACAUUACCUGUUGAUCUUAUCUCUUUAAAGAUACUUGCUUUUGAUGUGAUUUUAGAGAUUGAUUGGUUAACUACUCAUUAUGCCAAAAUUGAUUAUUUUCGUAAGGUUGUUAGUUUUCAUAUUCCUAACCAACCUGUUGUACGAAUUCAAGUAACUAAACCAUUAAAAUCAAUCACUGUCAUAUCAAGUCAUAAAGCUAUUCGUUUAUUGAAAAACGGAUGUCAUGCUUUCUUAGCCCAUGUUAUGGAUUUGAAUAAAGACACGUCGGAUUUGAAUAAUAUUUCUGUUGUAAGUAAAUUUUCUGACAUAUUUUCUGAAGAACUGCCCGGUCUACCCCCAGAACGUGAAGUUGAAUUCUUUAUUGAUCUUGAACCUGGUACAAAGCCCAUUUCUAAAAUCCCAUAUCGAAUGGCUCCUAUUGAACUUCAGGAGUUUAAAGUCCAACUACAGGAAUUAUUGGACAUCGAUUUCAUUCGUCCUAGUACAUCUCCUUUGGGUGCUCUUGUUUUAUUUGUAAAGAAGGAAUACGGGAGUAUGCGACUUUGUAUUGACUACCGGAAAUUGAACCAUGUCACCAUCAAGAAUAGGUAUCCGCUACCUCAUAUUGAUGACCUGUUUGACCAGUUGUAAAGAGAAAAAUUCUUUUCAAAGAUCCAUAUUCGUUCUGGAUAUCAUAAGCUGAAGAUUAGAACUGAGGAUAUUCCAAAGACUGCCUUCAGAACUCGGUACGGGCAUUAUGAAUUCUUAGUCAUGUCUUUUGGAUUGACUAAUGCUCCUGCGGCUUUCGUGGAUAUGAUGAACCGAGUAUUAAAGGACUAUUUGGAUCAGUUCAAUGUUGUCUUUAUUGAUGACAUUAUCAUAUAUUCCAAAAACCGUGAAGAUCAUGAGCACCAUUUGAAGCUGGUACUCCAAAGGCUUCGUGAAAAUAAACUAUAUGCCAAGUUGAAGAAAUGCAAGUUCUAGCUUGAGGAAGUAGCAUUCCUUGGGCACGUGGUGUCAAAACAUGGAGUAUCUGUUGACCCAGCGAAGAUUGAAGCAAUACAAAGUUGGGAGCAACCGAAGUCGGUGACCGAAGUACGUAGCUUUCUGGGCUUAGCUGGUUAUUAUCAGAGAUUCGUGGAAGGGUUUUCUCAAAUCGCUACUCCGUUAACUCAGUUGACUCGAAAGGAUACAAAAUUCGUAUGGAGCGAGGAAUGCGAAAAGAGUUUCCAAGAGCUUAAGAGGAGACUCAUUUCGGCACCUGUUCUGACAAUACCAUCUGGUUCGGAUGGAUAUGUUAUUUACAGCGAUGCUUCAGGCAAAGGGUUAGGAUGUGUUCUCAUACAACGUGGGAAAGUCAUAUAGCCUAUGCCUCGCGACAACUUAAAGAAUAUGAGAGGAAUUAUCCUACUCAUGAUCUAGAGUUGGCAACAGUCAUUUUCGCGCUAAAGAUCUGGAGGCACUAUCUAUACGGGGAGAAAGUGGAGAUAUAUUCAGACCAUAAAAACCUCAAAUAUUUCUUCACACAAAAGGAACUCAACAUGCGGCAACGAUGUUGGCUCAAGCUGUUAAAAGAUUAUGACCACACUAUUCAAUACCAUCCUGGAAAAGCGAAUGUGGUAGCUGACGCGUUGAGUAAAAAAUCAUAUGUAGGAACGAGUGCGAUGAUGUCAAGUAUAUGCAUAGAACCAACUUUAAUUGAUGAAGUUAAAGUUGCUCAAGCCACCGACCCGGAGCUGAUGCGUAUAAAGAAGAAAGUACAAGAAGGUGUUAUUCCAGAAGCAAGAAUCGAUGAAGAAGGAAUACUUCGAGUCCACUCCAGACUUUGUGUUCCUAACGAUUCUGAUUUGAAGUACAAGAUCAUGAUGGAGGCACACAAUACACCAUUUGCAAUCCAUCCUGGAAGUACCAAAAUGUAUCGUGAUCUUCGACAUACAUUUUGGUGGAACAAUAUGAAGAGAGAGAUUGCAAAGUUUAUCUCGAGGUGUUUAACUUGUCAACGUGUAAAGGCGGAGCAUCAAGUGCCUAAGGGUCCAUUGCAACCACUUGAGAUUCCGAAAUAGAAGUGGGAACACAUUACCAUGAAUUUCGUUACUGGUCUUCCUACGAUAUCUCAAGGCUAUUUGGGUUAUUGUUGAUAAAUUAACCAAGUCUGCUCAUUUCUUGCCGAUACGGGAGACUUAUUCCCUUGAACGUCUUGCUCGUAUGUACGUAAAUGAGAUUGUGAGAUUGCAUGGCAUGCCAGUAUCCAUAGUUUCGGAUCGUGACCCAAGAUUCACUUCACGAUUUUGGGUUAGCUUGCAAAAAGCUAUGGGCACGAAUUUACGAUUCAGUUCGGCAUACCAUCCUCAAACGGACAGACAAUCAGAGAGGACUAUUCAAACUCUUAAAGAUCUAUUAAGACUCUGUGUCCUAGACUUCAAAGGGAGUUAGGAUAAGUAUUUACCAUUGGUGGAAUUCUCCUACAACAACAGUUAUCAAACAAGUAUAGGGGUAGCUCCAUUCGAAGCAUUGUAUGGAAAGAAGUGUCGCUCUCUAGUAUGUUGGGAUGAGGUGGGUGAAGUAACAUUUUUGGGACCAGAGUUGGUACGUAUUACUACAGAAAAGAUCCAAAUGAUUCGACAACGUAUCCAAAAGGCACAGGAUCGACAAAAGAGUUAUAUAUGCGAAUCUUCAUCGAAAGGACGUGGAAUUUAGUAUUGGGGAUCAUGUAUUGUUGCGUGUUGCCCCAUGGAAGGGAGUUACAAGAUUUGGGAAGAGAGGAAAGCUCAAUCCACGAUUUAUUGGUCCAUUUCAGAUUCUUGACCGAGUAGGAAAUGUAGCCUAUAGACUCGCGUUACCUCCGAGUAUGUCUCGUGUUCAUAAUGUGUUUCACAUAUCUGUGUUUCGUAAAUAUGUGAAAGACCCGAACCAUGUUAUUGAGUUAGAACCGGACGAGAUAGCCAAAGACUUAACAUACGAAGAGGUACCUGUCAAGAUCUUGGAUAAGAAGGAGCAUGUCGUACGCACAAAGGUCAUACCACAAGUUAAAGUUUUGUGGAGGAACCAUGCUAUUGAGGAAAUGACCUGGGAGUUGGAAAUGAAAAUGAAAGCGAGGUAUCCUCACCUUUUCGAAACCCAAGGUACGUACGUCAAUUUCGAGGACGAAAUUUCAUAAGGAGGGGAGGUUGUAAGACCCCAACUUAUUAUUAAAUGAAAUUAAAAUUCCUCUAUUUAUUAUUUUGAAAUAGUAAGGGUUGAUUUGAUUAAUGUGGUUAGUUAUAGGCAAAAUGCGCAAAUAUUUCAUAUAAGCAAGUGGUUAUAAAAUAUUCAUUGUUAUCGGGGAAUAUUCGUUUGGUCGUGGAAUAUUCUUACUGUCGGGGAAUAUUCAUACGACGGAGCAGCCUUGUGUGGGCCCCAUAACGGAAAGCGAUUAGAUGAAGAAAACAAUAAGUAUAAAUUGUUUAUAAAUAACGACGUAGUUGUUACUGUUAAUACUGUUAGAAUACCCGGUGGUUAAAAUACAGUAGCACACGGUAUUGCACCAAUUAUUGAUUCUUACAUAAGAAGGCACUACUCAAUAAUUGUUACAGUAAUUACUGUUCAGUAUUUUAUUGAUUCAAUAAUUGCUACGUUUAUAUUUUAUAUUAUUGUUGUUUCAAUAAUUGUCACUGCACAAUAUUUUUAUUAUCAAGAUCAAUAAUUCAUAUUAUUUGAAUAAUAUUAUUAGAUAACAUUAUUGGCAAUGUCUAGAAAGUUCUGUCUAAGGAGAGGUUUGGUCACCUAAUUGCGCGCUAGUAAGGAGAAAUCCUUAUUAGAAAGCCCCCUCUUUCCUGGGAACGGUCUGGUUGUCGAUAUUGUAGUUCUGUAAUAUUAUUUGUGAAUAAUUAAUUAUUAAUUUAUAUGAUAAAGAAAAUACUCAUUUUAUGUGGAUAUAGAUGGAGAAAAUUUUUUAAUGUGACAAUUGUUGAAAAUUGAUAUUUUAUCUUUUCUGAUAAAAUAAUUCAUUUAAAUAUAUUAUUAUAAUAUAAUAAUGGUUAUAUUUUUACAAUGAAUGUGGGAUAUAUGAAUAAAUGAGGAGGAAGAGUAUUUUUGUUACUAAAAAUAUUUAAAACAUGUUUUUCAUGUUUGUGGACCCCAUCUCUUGACUGAAAUUUAAUUAUAGCCUGUAAAAUCGUCCGUUUGUGAAUUUUGGUCAAUUUUUGUUUAGAAUUUGAAAAAACUUUCUUCUGCAAAGUUGUAGAGAAUGGAAUUUCCUAUAGAAAGGACAUAAUGUUUGAAUUUUUCUAAUAAAAGGGCUAUUUAUUGUGAAUUAUUGAAGUUCUGGAUUAAUUGAUUCUAAUUUUUUUGGAGUUUUAAAUGAUUUAUGUGAGAAAAAUGUUUCUGGAGUUGUUAUUGAGGUGUGGCUGAUGUUUAGACUAAGUUGGUGUGCGUAGGAAGUUUAAGAAAAAUAAAUUAUUAUUUUAUUAAAUUUUCUGCUUUGGUGUUCUAAGCAUUUUCCUAUAAAUAGGGUGCUUAGGUUAAAAUUGAAAAUCACACCAGAAACUGAAGUUUUCUCUCUCUAUAUUAUCGAGCGUAUUCUUGUGAGUAUUUUGAUACUUUGAGUGUUGCUAUACGGUGCAAGUUCCCUUCAUCACUAUAUCUGGUAUUCCAGUUAGAAGUACAGUCUUUUCAAGGUAAGGGAUGUUAUUUUUUUUAAAUGAUAUUAUUUCUUCUAAUAUCAUUAUGCCGAAUUAUUGGUAAAAUUUUUCUUGUGAAAUUCUUAUCUUUUAGUGUUGAGGUUACUAUUCACGUAUACGGCACUAUUCACGAAUACGACACUAUUCAUAAAAAAAUUAAAUUUUCAUUUUUUGUCCAAAACAUCGAUUAUGGAUACUAGCUUUAAUUGUAUCCAUGUUUUGAUCAUUCUUGAAUUUUACUUCACUAUGGUUAUUUAUGAAGUAUUUCUGAACUUGGACUGUUUAAAGUACGAAUCCUUAAUAUUUAUUCUUUUGUUUCACUGGAUUCAUUUUUUUUAAAAUAUUUUUCAUCAUUCUCAGUCCUAAAUGGUGAUAUUACUAAAUAUCUUUGGCCUGUAGUGCAUAGAUGGUUGAUUUUCUUAUGAAUAUCUUUGGCUCGUAGUGCAAAGAGGAACAGGUGUUGAGAUGAACAUGACCAACUAAUGAAUAUCUUUGGCCUGUAGUGCAAAGAUGAAUAUUUGAUUCAAGAUGUAUAUUGAUUGAUGUUAUAGGGAUAAAAUAUUGAUGAUGGACUUUUAAAUUCAUAGAUGAAAGUAGAUUUCAUUCUCUACGUAACUCUUCUAUGAAUUAUUGUUUCUGCUGCGAAUAUUGAUUUGAAAUUUGUUGUCUAUUGUAUUUUAUCAGAUUUUUCCCUGUUGAAGACUAACGAUAAUUUGUUUUAUAUUAUCUUAGUCAUAAUAUUCUUUACUGAACUAGUUGAGCUCACCUUUUUCUUUUUUGUUCCAUUUUUCUUCUCAGGAGGCGAGAAUGUAGCGAGUUCUAGUCGGGGUGUGGAAUGAUGAUUCUAGAAAGUUGUUUUAGUAGUCCUCACCAUUUUUGUAAAAUAAUGUACCAAUAAUUGUAAUGAGGACUUAUUUGGGUGUGAAUAUUGUCUAGAUGGCAAUAUUUGUAUUUAAACUCACAGUUUAUAUGUUGUAUUAUUAAAGUUGUAGUUGUUUCUGUACCAUGUAAUUGACGACUCAAAAUGGGUGAUGUAUACCUAUUUUGUGAGCGUCACAUAUUUUAUAGAACAGAUGCAGUGAGGAGUGAGGAAUGUCAUUUAGAGAAAGCAACAAUGAAAUUUUCUUUAGCAGUGUUAUCUUUAAUCUUUCUUUUUCAACAUUUGCAUUGAGGAAUGUAAUAAGUUCAACCAAUU